UACGUAGGGUGCAAGCGUUGUCCGGAAUUAUUGGGCGUAAAGAGCUCGUAGGCGGUUUGUCGCGUCGAAUGUGAAAACCCGGGGCUCAACCCCGGGCCUGCAUUCGAUACGGGCAGACUAGAGUUCGGUAGGGGAGUCUGGAAUUCCUGGUGUAGCGGUGAAAUGCGCAGAUAUCAGGAGGAACACCGGUGGCGAAGGCGGGACUCUGGGCCGAUACUGACGCUGAGGAGCGAAAGCGUGGGGAACAAACAGG
Molecule: ribosomal RNA, 253 nt
Filed under: uncultured bacterium
Lineage: Bacteria
Description: partial 16S ribosomal RNA
Rfam family: Bacterial small subunit ribosomal RNA
Source: RNAcentral